UAUUUAAGAUCAAGACAUGUGCCAGAGAAAGACAUCGAACGAAUGGAACAGGACAAGGCAAAUCCUCCAGAGGAUGAUGUCACUGUUGGGGAGCUUUAUGAAAGAGUGAAGUUGCCAGUGCUGCAGUUCUACCUGAAAACCAAAAAGAGAGAAGUUGCUACAAAGAUGUGAAGGAGCUGGAGAACAUCAGGAAAGCUCUGUCCUUUAUCACCGCGGUGAAGAGCACAGGACGCACCCUCUCUCUUCCCCUUCUGUUGCCACUGUAAUAUGUGACCCCCCAUGAGGGAGAAGACAGUGGAAACAAAUAGGCAGAAAGAGAGAACUACAAGAACGGAGAAGUCAUAGGUCAAGGUGCUCCAGAGACCAAGAGGAUAAACCUGCAUGACUUUGUGUUUAUUAAAGUUCUGGGGAAAGGAAGUUUUGGAAAUGUACGAUGUUGCUCACACGCCUGACAGGAAGCAGAAAUGAUCCUCUCUGGUUCUGACAACCUUUGGUCUUGUGAUCAGGUGAUGCUGGCAGAGCUGAAGGGCACCGACUAGGUUUACGUGGUCAAGGUGCUGAAGAAAGACGUGAUCCUGCAAGAUGAUGAUGUGGACUUGCACCAUGACGGAGAAACGGAUCCUCGCCUUGGCCAGGAAACAUCCAUACCUGACACAGCUCUACUGCUGCUUCCAGACCAAAAUAAGCUCGCUCACACAGUUUGCAGUGACAUGCUGCACUAUUGUGUAAUAUUUGCACAAAUCUUUUUUAAUAAUGUUUGAGGUCACACUGCAAAUAUUAGCUCUGAGCAACUAAAUACUCCCAGCUUGACUGUAGCCAAACUGGUUCCUGA
Molecule: long non-coding RNA, 832 nt
Organism: Austrofundulus limnaeus
Lineage: Eukaryota; Metazoa; Chordata; Actinopteri; Cyprinodontiformes; Rivulidae
Exons: 3
Source: RefSeq, a predicted model, not a curated record